UAUGAUGAACUAGCAGUUGCCCGUGGCUUCGCACGCGUUGAAAACAGUACACUAUAUUCACUUAUUCUUUUCUAUCACAUUCUAAACCAGGGGUUCCCAAACUGUGGUACGCGUACCCCCUGGUGGUACGUGAGACGUUGCCAGGGGGGUACGUGAGCAGGACCACGCCAGUUUACUAUUAUGUUCUGGCUGAUGCGAGGGAAAUUUCAGGUUGCGGGAAAAGCGAGAGAAGUUUUGUUUUGCGCGACGAGUGGCUACAUCACUGACGCUCUCCACCUUCUAGUUUCUUUGUCAGUUUGUCUAUCGUCUGCUAGUCUGCAAAGUGUGUGGUUUUAAGCGUGUGUCAUACUGCCAAAUUAUUCGUGUAAUUUUAUUCAUUAUUUCAUAGACAGUGUUUGUUAUAGCGAUAUGGAUAAGUGGUUAAGCAAGUCUUCAAACGUUAAGAAAAAGCAAAGAGUUUCAUCAUCACUUGAAGAAGUGUCAUUGUUCCCAUCUCUUGAAUCUUUUAUUAAAGAGAACGAACUUCUCCUGAGUCAAACAAUUUCGAAUGACAUAUCAGAUCAUUGUAGCUCCCUCCAAGCUACAAAAAAUACUUUCAAGAUGAUCUGAGUUCAUACUCGUGGAUUAAAAACCCCUUUGCUGAAAUUGAGAAAAUUCUUCCUAACAGCUUUUCUCUGAAACUCAAAGAGGAACUUUUUGAGUUAAACUGCGAUUCGGAUCUGAAAGAAGUAUUUAACAAAACCACUCUUAUUGGUUUUUGGAUCAAACAACGUUCAGAGUAUGGUGAAAUUGCUGACAAAGCAGUUCAGUUUCUACUACCAUUCCGAACUUCCUAUCUAUGUGAGGCGAGAUUCUCACAUCUGCUGAACAUCAAAAAUAAGUACAGGAACCGAAUUCAAACAGUGGAAUGUGAUCUCAGACUCAAGUUAAGCCCAAUUAUGCCAGACAUGGAAUCAAGUUCCAUUCAAGCUCAUCCCUCACAUUGAAUAACUGAUGAUAACUAUACGAACAUUUUCAUUGUGUGACAUCCACAAUUCUGAAUUUUAUAUUUUGUAAUUUGAUUAUAAUUAAAUAUAUGUAUUAAUACAGUU
Homalodisca vitripennis (glassy-winged sharpshooter) is the source of this 1091-nucleotide long non-coding RNA. RefSeq lists it as uncharacterized. The record is from RefSeq and is a predicted model, not a curated record. Lineage: Eukaryota; Metazoa; Arthropoda; Insecta; Hemiptera; Cicadellidae. The transcript is spliced from 2 exons.